GAUGAACGCUGGCGGCGUGCCUAAUACAUGCAAGUCGAGCGAACAGACGAGGAGCUUGUUCCUCUGACGUUAGCGGCGGACGGGUGAGUAACACGUGGAUAACCUACCUAUAUGACUGGGAUAACUUCGGGAAACCGGAGCUAAUACCGGAUAAUAUAUUGAACCGCAUGGUUCAAUAGUGAAAGACGGUUUUGCUGUUACUUUUAGAUGGAUCCGCGCCGCAUUAGCUAGUUGGUAAGGUAACGGCUUACCAAGGCAACGAUGCGUAGCCGACCUGAGAGGGGGAUCGGCCACACUGGAACGGAGACACGGUCCAGACUCCUACGGGAGGCAGCAGUAGGGAAGCUUCCGCAAUGGGCGAAAGCCGGACGGAGCAACGCCGCGUGAGUGAUGAAGGUCUUCGGAUCGUAAAACACUGUUAUUAGGGAAGAACAAAAGUGUAAGUAGCUAUGCACGUCGUGACGGUACCUAAACAGAAAGCCACGGCUAACUACGUG
RNAcentral lists this ribosomal RNA (497 nucleotides) under uncultured bacterium. Its description in RNAcentral is "partial 16S ribosomal RNA". It matches the Rfam family "Bacterial small subunit ribosomal RNA", at positions 28 to 507 of the family's 1533-position model. The record is from RNAcentral.